UUGGUGAAGGUAUAGGCUUACCAAGGCGACGAUCAGUAGCUGGUCUGAGAGGACGACCAGCCACACUGGGACUGAGACACGGCCCAGACUCCUACGGGAGGCAGCAGUGGGGAAUUUUGGACAAUGGGGGAAACCCUGAUCCAGCCAUGCCGCGUGAGUGAAGAAGGCCUUCGGGUUGUAAAGCUCUUUCAGCCGGAACGAAACGGUCACGGCUAAUACCUGUGACUACUGACGGUACCGGAAGAAGAAGCACCGGCUAACUACGUGCCAGCAGCCGCGGUAAUACGUAGGGUGCAAGCGUUAAUCGGAAUUACUGGGCGUAAAGCGUGCGCAGGCGGUUUUGUAAGUCAGAUGUGAAAUCCCCGGGCUUAACCUGGGAACUGCGUUUGAA
Molecule: ribosomal RNA, 391 nt
Filed under: uncultured ammonia-oxidizing bacterium
Lineage: Bacteria
Description: bacterial SSU rRNA
Rfam family: Bacterial small subunit ribosomal RNA
Source: RNAcentral